AGAGGUAAAGUAUAGGUAACUAAAAUGAGUACGAUACAAUAUGAGACCCCAGGGUUUAGAAUAGUUCUAUAUAUAAGAUAUAAUAAGAUUAAAUCUCUAAACCCGUCUAUAACAUUUUAGAUGGUGGUUGGGCCCAAAAGGUUAAGAGAGUUAAGUUUGCUAAGGCUAGAUUAAUCCUAGGAUAGAUGGUCCUUGGGAAGUGGAGCGUCAUAUACAAAUAACUA
This 224-nucleotide long non-coding RNA is filed under the name Ananas comosus (pineapple). Its description in RNAcentral is "long non-coding RNA (ACOM_LNC015227)". Lineage: Eukaryota; Viridiplantae; Streptophyta; Magnoliopsida; Poales; Bromeliaceae. The record is from RNAcentral.